GAUGAACGCUGGCGGCGUGCCUAAUACAUGCAAGUCGAGCGAACGGACGAGAAGCUUGCUUCUCUGAUGUUAGCGGCGGACGGGUGAGUAACACGUGGAUAACCUACCUAUAAGACUGGGAUAACUUCGGGAAACCGGAGCUAAUACCGGAUAAUAUUUUGAACCGCAUGGUUCAAAAGUGAAAGACGGUCCUGCUGUCACUUAUAGAUGGAUCCGCGCUGCAUUAGCUAGUUGGUAAGGUAACGGCUUACCAAGGCAACGAUGCAUAGCCGACCUGAGAGGGUGAUCGGCCACACUGGAACUGAGGCACGGUCCAGACUCCUACGGGAGGCAGCAGUAGGGAAUCUUCCGCAAUGGGCGAAAGCCUGACGGUGCAACGCCGCGUGAGUGAUGAAGGUCUUCGGAUCGUAAAACUCUGUUAUUAGGGAAGAACAUAUGUGUAAGUAACUGUGCACAUCUUGACGGUACCUAAUCAGAAAGCCACGGCUAACUACGUG
RNAcentral lists this ribosomal RNA (497 nucleotides) under uncultured bacterium. RNAcentral describes it as "partial 16S ribosomal RNA". It matches the Rfam family "Bacterial small subunit ribosomal RNA", at positions 28 to 507 of the family's 1533-position model. The record is from RNAcentral.